This is a long non-coding RNA of Panicum virgatum (switchgrass), 1599 nucleotides long. RefSeq lists it as uncharacterized. The record is from RefSeq and is a predicted model, not a curated record. Lineage: Eukaryota; Viridiplantae; Streptophyta; Magnoliopsida; Poales; Poaceae. The transcript is spliced from 2 exons.
CGGCAUGCCCGGUGCGCCUCGUGCCCGGCGUGCGGCCAGUCGUUCUUGGCUCCAUUUCUUAAAUCCGAGCAUUUGGGGAGCUUUUGGUUGGUUUGAUUCGUGCAAAGACAUGUGUUGAUGCUACUCCAUGAGUGAAUUUGAUUGAAUCAACACGAGCACGAAGAAUCGAACCAAUUUUGUUUUGGGGAGAAAACUGCAUUCUUGCGCAUGAUCUGAAAUUCCUGGAGUUUGAGUUCAAAUUGAGCCAUGACGCUUUCGGGAUAGCUUACCAACUCCAUAGAGAUCACCUGUGCAAAGUUUGGGAGCGAUUCCUUUUGAUUUGAUCAAGUUUGGGGCGUUUUUCUUUUAUCCCAUCUCUCUUCUCUUCUGGCUUCCUCAUCUGUUCGUUGCUCGGCAGAGCAGAGCUGUGGCCGGCACCAGCAGGACGACCAUCCAGCGAGGGAGUGCGGCAGCCAUCAUCCCAUCUCCGACAUUUAUGGUACGUGUACCCAUGAUUCAACCCAAGAAUGAUUGAUUUCUCAUUCUUUGCUAAUUGCCGUGUUCUAUAAAAUUUAUAAUGAAAGGAUUUAGAUAUGGACUCAAUUAAUUAGAAGAUAAAUUUGAGCAAUCAUGUGUGCAGUUUACGUUUGUUGAAAUAUCUACGAGUACAAAUUGAUCAAUAGUAUUGCCACAUUAUGGUAGCACUAUUCACCUUUGAUCAACCUACUGAAAUCACAUUUUCUUUUAUAUUUUUUUCUUUCUAUAGAAUUACCCAUUUCAUGUCACAUUUCAAAUGAAGCUCAAUUACAGUUGCUGGGAUGGAACUGGGCAUAGGAGAGCUACCCUGGUUAAUUUCUAUCUGUUACUGGACUGUUUCUUCUGUGUCUUAAGUUUCUAGACUUAGGAGUUUAUACGAUUAAAACAUAGCCUACUAGGAAAGGAUUUUUGCACAGAAUAACAGUUUUGAGGUAAUAUGCGAGUUCACAUAAAUAAUCCUCAAGGCGAGUGCUGAUAUGUCCUUAUGUAUGAAGCACAUAUAUUUUGAAUUUAAUUGAUGUUGAUAGUACUGAUAGAUAUUAACUAUUUGCAGCAGAGAUUCUUGGCUUCUGCAAUUUUAUCUCACAUUCUUCUGAAGAGCAAUCUUUAGCUGCUGUGCAAGAGUAUCUGAUGUUUUCAAACAUAUAUGACCUCACUGCUGUGCUGGAGAACAGAUAGCUUUGAACUAUUUGGUGAUCAUUCCCAGUUUUGCAUGGCACGUGGAAGUCUUUGGAUCUUUGAGAAAAUGGCUCUAUCUAUCCAUAAGUGAUAUCGAUGGUUAUAUCUUCUAUUAGCAGAUUGGAUGAGGAAAGGUUUAUCACGUUAUGAUUGUGUGCUCUACAAUUAAAUACUGAUGCUAACAUGAAUGGUGGGACAAUAAACUUUAGUAUGGCAUUAAGAACUUCCAUAAUGCAAUGUUGUUUGCUUGAAGUACAUUGAUGUAUUGUUUCCUUUUGCUUGAAGUAAAUUGAUGUAUUAUUUCCUUCUGAACUUCCAUAAUGCAAUGGUCUCUGCCAUUUGUAUCUAAAAGAAUUUAAAAUUACUUAAGAAAAUGGCUAAUCAAUUUGUCAAUGGUUCAGUGUA